This 480-nucleotide ribosomal RNA is filed under the name uncultured bacterium. Its description in RNAcentral is "partial 16S ribosomal RNA". It matches the Rfam family "Bacterial small subunit ribosomal RNA", at positions 28 to 523 of the family's 1533-position model. The record is from RNAcentral.
GACGAACGCUGGCGGCGUGCUUAACACAUGCAAGUCGAGCGGAAAGGCCCUUUCGGGGGUACUCGAGCGGCGAACGGGUGAGUAACACGUGAGUAAUCUGCCCCUGGCUUUGGGAUAGCCACCGGAAACGGUGAUUAAUACCGGAUACGACCACUUCUCGCAUGGGAUGGUGGUGGAAAGUUUUUCGGCCAGGGAUGUGCUCGCGGCCUAUCAGCUUGAUGGUGAGGUAAUGGCUCACCAUGGCUUCGACGGGUAGCCGGCCUGAGAGGGUGGCCGGUCACACUGGGACUGAGACACGGCCCAGACUCCUACGGGAGGCAGCAGUGGGGAAUAUUGGACAAUGGGCGGAAGCCUGAGCCAGCAACGCCGCGUGAGGGAUGACGGCCUUCGGGUUGUAAACCUCUUUCAGCAGGGACGAAGCGCAAGUGACGGUACCCGCAGAAGAAGCACCGGCCAACUACGUGCCAGCAGCCGCCGCCG